This 513-nucleotide ribosomal RNA is filed under the name uncultured Comamonadaceae bacterium. Its description in RNAcentral is "bacterial SSU rRNA". It matches the Rfam family "Bacterial small subunit ribosomal RNA", at positions 1 to 511 of the family's 1533-position model. Lineage: Bacteria; Pseudomonadati; Pseudomonadota; Betaproteobacteria; Burkholderiales; Comamonadaceae. The record is from RNAcentral.
UACACACACUAGAGUUUGAUCCUGGCUCAGAUUGAACGCUGGCGGCAUGCCUUACACAUGCAAGUCGAACAGUAACAGGUUAAGCUGACGAGUGGCGAACGGGUGAGUAAUGUAUCGGAACGUGCCCAGUCGUGGGGGAUAACUGCUCGAAAGAGCAGCUAAUACCGCAUGAGACCUGAGGGUGAAAGCGGGGGACUCGCAGGAGCCUCGCGCGAUUGGAGCGGCCGAUAUCAGAUUAGGUUGUUGGUGAGGUAAAAGCUCACCAAGCCGACGAUCUGUAGCUGGUCUGAGAGGACGACCAGCCAUACUGGGACUGAGACACGGCCCAGACUCCUACGGGAGGCAGCAGUGGGGAAUUUUGGACAAUGGACGCAAGUCUGAUCCAGCCAUGCCGCGUGCGGGAAGAAGGCCUUCGGGUUGUAAACCGCUUUUGUCAGGGAAGAAACGAGUUUCUCUGAUACAGAGACUUAAUGACGGUACCUGAAGAAUAAGCACCGGCUAACUACGUGCCAG